UAAGGGACGGGCGGUUGCUAUACAUGCAAGUCGAACGCGUUGGCCCAAUUGAUUGAUGGUGCUUGCACCUGAUUGAUUUUGGUCGCCAACGAGUGGCGGACGGGUGAGUAACACGUAGGUAACCUGCCCAGAAGCGGGGGACAACAUUUGGAAACAGAUGCUAAUACCGCAUAACAGCGUUGUUCGCAUGAACAACGCUUAAAAGAUGGCUUCUCGCUAUCACUUCUGGAUGGACCUGCGGUGCAUUAGCUUGUUGGUGGGGUAACGGCCUACCAAGGCGAUGAUGCAUAGCCGAGUUGAGAGACUGAUCGGCCACAAUGGGACUGAGACACGGCCCAUACUCCUACGGGAGGCAGCAGUAGGGAAUCUUCCACAAUGGGCGCAAGCCUGAUGGAGCAACACCGCGUGAGUGAAGAAGGGUUUCGGCUCGUAAAGCUCUGUUGUUAAAGAAGAACACGUAUGAGAGUAACUGUUCAUACGUUGACGGUAUUUAACCAGAAAGUCACGGCUAACUACGUGCCAGCAGCCGCGGUAAUACGUAGGUGGCAAGCGUUAUCCGGAUUUAUUGGGCGUAAAGAGAGUGCAGGCGGUUUUCUAAGUCUGAUGUGAAAGCCUUCGGCUUAACCGGAGAAGUGCAUCGGAAACUGGAUAACUUGAGUGCAGAAGAGGGUAGUGGAACUCCAUGUGUAGCGGUGGAAUGCGUAGAUAUAUGGAAGAACACCAGUGGCGAAGGCGGCUACCUGGUCUGCUACUGACGCUGAGACUCGAAAAGCAUGGGUAGCGAACAGGAUUAGAUACCCUGGUAGUCCAUGCCGUAACGAUGAGUGCUAGGUGUUGGAGGGUUUCCGCCCUUCAGUGCCGGAGCUAACGCAUUAAGCACUCCGCCUGGGGAGUACGACCGCAAGGGUGAAACUCAAAGGAAUUUGACGGGGGCCCGCACAAGCGGUGUAGCAUGUGGUUUAAUUCGAAGCUACGCCGAUAGAACCCUUACCAGGUCUUGACAUCUUGC
RNAcentral lists this ribosomal RNA (1009 nucleotides) under Limosilactobacillus fermentum. Its description in RNAcentral is "bacterial SSU rRNA". It matches the Rfam family "Bacterial small subunit ribosomal RNA", at positions 30 to 992 of the family's 1533-position model. The record is from RNAcentral. Lineage: Bacteria; Bacillati; Bacillota; Bacilli; Lactobacillales; Lactobacillaceae.